Molecule: long non-coding RNA, 388 nt
Filed under: Solanum tuberosum (potato)
Lineage: Eukaryota; Viridiplantae; Streptophyta; Magnoliopsida; Solanales; Solanaceae
Description: long non-coding RNA (STUB_LNC002953)
Source: RNAcentral
AUGAAACUCCCUGUAGAUUUACCGGGUUUUGCCUUCAGAAAUGCUAGAUUAGCAGUUGGGAGAUUAAUCGACGCCCUUUCUGUUUGCGUGGAACAGAGCUUAAACAAGAUGAAAAACGAAGAAGAACCCACAUGCUUGAUUGAUUUCUGGAUGCAGGAAAAUUUAAGAGAGAUUAACGAAGCUAAGAACAAUGGAUUACAAAAGCCAUUCCAGUACACUAACAAGGAACUUGGAGGUUACCUGUUCGACUUCCUCUUUGCUGCUCAAGAUGCUUCUACUUCUGCUCUGUUAUGGGCAAUCGUGCUUUUAGAUUCUCACCCACAAGUUCUGGAGAAAGUUCGGUCGGAGGUAGCGAAAUUCUGGUCGCCAGAAUCUGAGGAGCCGCUGA